CUUGACUCUGGGAUAAGCGUUGGAAACGACGUCUAAUACCGGAUACGAGCUUCCACCGCAUGGUGAGUUGCUGGAAAGAAUUUUGGUCAAGGAUGGACUCGCGGCCUAUCAGCUUGUUGGUGAGGUAACGGCUCACCAAGGCGACGACGGGUAGCCGGCCUGAGAGGGUGACCGGCCACACUGGGACUGAGACACGGCCCAGACUCCUACGGGAGGCAGCAGUGGGGAAUAUUGCACAAUGGGCGAAAGCCUGAUGCAGCAACGCCGCGUGAGGGACGACGGCCUUCGGGUUGUAAACCUCUUUUAGCAGGGAAGAAGCGAAAGUGACGGUACCUGCAGAAAAAGCACCGGCUAACUACGUGCCAGCAGCCGCGGUAAUACGUAGGGUGCAAGCGUUGUCCGGAAUUAUUGGGCGUAAAGAGCUCGUAGGCGGUUUGUCGCGUCUGCUGUGAAAUCCCGAGGCUCAACCUCGGGUCUGCAGUGGGUACGGGCAGACUAGAGUGCGGUAGGGGAGAUUGGAAUUCCUGGUGUAGCGGUGGAA
This 541-nucleotide ribosomal RNA is filed under the name Plantibacter sp. Its description in RNAcentral is "bacterial SSU rRNA". It matches the Rfam family "Bacterial small subunit ribosomal RNA", at positions 131 to 686 of the family's 1533-position model. Lineage: Bacteria; Bacillati; Actinomycetota; Actinomycetes; Micrococcales; Microbacteriaceae. The record is from RNAcentral.